Oreochromis niloticus (Nile tilapia) is the source of this 700-nucleotide long non-coding RNA. RefSeq lists it as uncharacterized. The transcript has 4 exons. The record is from RefSeq and is a predicted model, not a curated record. Lineage: Eukaryota; Metazoa; Chordata; Actinopteri; Cichliformes; Cichlidae.
AAAGCCUCUACUCAGCUGUAUUUUUGUUACUAAUUUAUGUUUGUUGUUGUUUAACACAGAUUUCAGAAGAGCAAAGAUGAGCACUGUUGCUUAAUCCUUAAUAGUUUAACUGGAUUGGAAAUCCAGAUUCUUCUUCCACAGAAGUUUCAUUUGUCAGUGUGGGACUGCUGAGUCACCUGAAGAACUCAUUUCAUUCAUUCUCCACGAUGUUGAUUUACAGAAAUGUUUCACAGGAACUGAUUCCUCCCAAAGGGUGAACUAGUGUGUUUCCAUAGAUUAUCUCUGUAUGAAUGUACUUCUUAAAUGAAGGCAAGUGUUUGUCCUGUUUUGUUCCUCAGGUACAGUACGUGAUAUUAAGGGCAGGCGGUCAUCACUGGGGGAAGACAAGAAGCAGACGUACUUCCAAGAGGGAGCUGCAGUGAGGACACAGCCUGGUCACUGAGGUCAGAGGAGGCGCUGAAAGGUUUCCCUAAUAGUUCCUGGUGAAUCAAAGCAGAACCAUAAAGAUUGCUGGACUGCAUGAUGGCCUUACCCCUGAGCAAUCAUCCUGUUAAAGGACCAACCAGUUAGAAGCUGUUUUCAAAGUAGCUGAGCAGAUUUCACCUCAACAGACAAAGCCGAUGGCAGAAGAUGUUUGGAGAAGAACUUCAGGCCGUGGACUGAAAAGUAGAUCAAAGCAGCUCGUGCUCUGUCUGCUUCC